This 1268-nucleotide long non-coding RNA is filed under the name Homo sapiens (human). Its description in RNAcentral is "HSALNT0040480". The record is from RNAcentral. Lineage: Eukaryota; Metazoa; Chordata; Mammalia; Primates; Hominidae.
CAGAACUUUGGCUCAUGCUACAAAUAUGGCCAAUAACUCUUCCACGUAUGGCGCAUGAUUCCCCUGACUGCAAGGAGGUGCCAAUUAACGACUUUUCAUCUUCUGUUCAGAUUGCCAUUGCAUUCCCAGACAUGGGUGCUAAGAGUCUAACUUUGGAUCUCUGACAAGUGCCCUAUAAAGGAAGCUGAGAAGGGCCUAUUAUUGCUAUUUUACAAGCGAGAAAAUUGAGGGCCAAAAAAGACGGCAUCAGAGAAGGGGAAGGAAGUGGCCUCCAGACCUCCUAGCAAUGAGACUCCAGGGCUCUUGCUACUUCAAGGAAAAUUGAUGAGAUUCCACCCCCAAAGUGUGGUAAGGGGGUGAAGCUCUGUCUCCUGUGCUGACUGGUCAGCCAACUUUGUGAUGGCUGGAAGCCCUGCAUCCUACCAUCUGUUAGGUUAAAUGUCAGCUCCCCAAGGAAGCCUUCUCCAACUGCUGGCAGACGCCAAGCUCCCUGCUUUACUUCACUUGUUGCUCUCUGCCUUUAUAACAUUGAACACAGCUGUCCGUGAUUAAAUAUUUAUUUGUGUAAUAUUUAGUCAAUUCCUCCCCUUCUCUCCUCAAACAUAUCUGUUCUCCAUGUCUGGCAGAGAAGAGAUAUUCAAUAAUUAUUUGCUUAAUGAAUUAAUGGCCUUUUGGUGUAUGUCCUGGGGUCAGUAUUUCUCAGCUUCAAUCCCUCGUAACUUCCUCAUCCACAACUACUGACAAUUCGAGUAUCUGUGCCAAAUCCAAAUUGUCUAAUUUAGUUAUAUUCAGCAUACUCCUAAUGGAGCCCAGAUGGAAAGUGGGCUCUUUCAAGUUCAAAGAAUUCUGAUCAUAAGGGUUGAAGUAUCAGGGUUUCUCAGAUAAACAAAAGUCCAAAGAACUAAAGCAUCCCAUUCUCCAAGUAAUUUGGUUUUCAAUGUCAUUAAGCAGACACUAUUCCCUCUGAUCAAUACCAUAAUAUCUCAGCCUCAGUUGACAAAUCAGCGUUAGGUUGCUGUCAGAUUCCACUAAGAACUAUGUGCACCUUCACUUGUCUAAGGUGCCACUGGGUCCAUCCAUCCAUCAUAAGGAAUCUUUGCCAUUUAAGGAGUGAUGUCGAGGCCGAGGCGGGUGGAUCACCUGAGGUCAGGAGUUCGAGGCCGGUCUAGCCAACAUGGUGAAACCCCGUCUCUACUAAAAAUAGAAAACAUUAGCCGGGCGUGGUGGUGCGCCUGUAAUCUCAGCUACUCUGGAGGCUGAGGUAGGAG